AUUGAACGCUGGCGGCAGGCCUAACACAUGCAAGUCGAACGGGAACAGGAAGAAGAUUGCUUCUUUGCUGACGAGUGGCGGACGGGUGAGUAAUGUCUGGGAAACUGCCUGAUGGAGGGGGAUAACUACUGGAAACGGUAGCUAAUACCGCAUAACGUCGCAAGACCAAAGAGGGGGACCUUCGGGCCUCUUGCCAUCGGAUGUGCCCAGAUGGGAUUAGCUAGUAGGUGGGGUAACGGCUCACCUAGGCGACGAACCCUAGCUGGUCUGAGAGGAUGACCAGCCACACUGGAACUGAGACACAGUCCAGACUCCGAGGGGAGGCAGCAGUGGGGAAUAUUGCACAAUGGGGGCAAGCCUGAUGCAGCCAUGCGGCGUGUAUGAAGAAGGCCUUCGGGUUGUAAAGUACUUUCAGCGGGGAGGAAGGGAGUAAAGUUAAUACCUUUUCUCAUUGACGUUACCCGCAGAAGAAGCUCCGGCUAACUCCGUG
Molecule: ribosomal RNA, 490 nt
Filed under: uncultured bacterium
Lineage: Bacteria
Description: partial 16S ribosomal RNA
Rfam family: Bacterial small subunit ribosomal RNA
Source: RNAcentral